Molecule: ribosomal RNA, 1284 nt
Filed under: bacterium MB-WCZ4
Lineage: Bacteria
Description: bacterial SSU rRNA
Rfam family: Bacterial small subunit ribosomal RNA
Source: RNAcentral
UGCGGCAGGCCUACACAUGCAGUCGAGCGGAACGAGUUAUCUGAACCUUCGGGGAACGAUAACGGCGUCGAGCGGCGGACGGGUGAGUAAUGCCUAGGAAAUUGCCCUGAUGUGGGGGAUAACCAUUGGAAACGAUGGCUAAUACCGCAUGAUGCCUACGGGCCAAAGAGGGGGACCUUCGGGCCUCUCGCGUCAGGAUAUGCCUAGGUGGGAUUAGCUAGUUGGUGAGGUAAGGGCUCACCAAGGCGACGAUCCCUAGCUGGUCUGAGAGGAUGAUCAGCCACACUGGAACUGAGACACGGUCCAGACUCCUACGGGAGGCAGCAGUGGGGAAUAUUGCACAAUGGGCGCAAGCCUGAUGCAGCCAUGCCGCGUGUGUGAAGAAGGCCUUCGGGUUGUAAAGCACUUUCAGUCGUGAGGAAGGUAGUGUAGUUAAUAGCUGCAUUAUUUGACGUUAGCGACAGAAGAAGCACCGGCUAACUCCGUGCCAGCAGCCGCGGUAAUACGGAGGGUGCGAGCGUUAAUCGGAAUUACUGGGCGUAAAGCGCAUGCAGGUGGUUUGUUAAGUCAGAUGUGAAAGCCCGGGGCUCAACCUCGGAAUAGCAUUUGAAACUGGCAGACUAGAGUCUGUAGAGGGGGGUAGAAUUUCAGGUGUAGCGGUGAAAUGCGUAGAGAUCUGAAGGAAUACCGGUGGCGAAGGCGGCCCCCUGGACAGAUACUGACACUCAGAUGCGAAAGCGUGGGGAGCAAACAGGAUUAGAUACCYUGGUAGUCCACGCCGUAAACGAUGUCUACUUGGAGGUUGUGGCCUUGAGCCGUGGCUUUCGGAGCUAACGCGUUAAGUAGACCGCCUGGGGAGUACGGUCGCAAGAUUAAAACUCAAAUGAAUUGACGGGGGCCCGCACAAGCGGUGGAGCAUGUGGUUUAAUUCGAUGCAACGCGAAGAACCUUACCUACUCUUGACAUCCAGAGAACUUUCCAGAGAUGGAUUGGUGCCUUCGGGAACUCUGAGACAGGUGCUGCAUGGCUGUCGUCAGCUCGUGUUGUGAAAUGUUGGGUUAAGUCCCGCAACGAGCGCAACCCUUAUCCUUGUUUGCCAGCGAGUAAUGUCGGGAACUCCAGGGAGACUGCCGGUGAUAAACCGGAGGAAGGUGGGGACGACGUCAAGUCAUCAUGGCCCUUACGAGUAGGGCUACACACGUGCUACAAUGGCGCAUACAGAGGGCGGCCAACUUGCGAAAGUGAGCGAAUCCCAAAAAGUGCGUCGUAGUCCUGAUGAGUUUC